Chlorocebus sabaeus (green monkey) is the source of this 2208-nucleotide non-coding RNA. NCBI's taxonomy places the organism in Eukaryota, Metazoa, Chordata, Mammalia, Primates, Cercopithecidae. The record is from RefSeq and is a predicted model, not a curated record.
UACAGACAGGGUUUCACCAUGUUGACCAGGCUGGUCUCGAACUCCUGACCCCAAAUGAUCUGCCCGCCUCAGCUUCCCAACGUGCUGGGAUGACAGGCAUGAGCCACUGUGCCUGACCCGCCAGAGAAGGUCUCGAUGAUUAUCACCCUUGAAGAAUCAUCCAGUAACCCAAGGAGAAGAUCAUUUGGCAAGGGCCCCAUAUGACCUUCCAACUGGCAUAGGCACUGAACUGUUUCUUACAUUCUCACAACAGCACCACAAGCAUUCUCCUCCACAAAGGGUAGAAGACAGCAUGGUAAGACCAGAAGAAAGAAGGCUAAGCAGAGCGGGAGGAACUGUGAUGACAAGCCAGAAGAGACCCCUGAAAAUAAGAGAUGGGACAAGUUAGGCGGGGCAGGGGGAGCCGAGAGAGGCUGGGAGGAGUGGGAAGGCAGUGAGCGGGAGGAGUUCAUUUCAGAUGAUGAUCAUUAACUUACAUCACUCAGUGCGCUCAGUUGAUAAGAGGCUUCCUUUCGAGUUCCUUAGCCCUCGCGGGGAUCUCUGAAGGAGGGUGUUAUUACUUCCAUUCAAUGCAGCCACCGCAGGCAUUGGGGCAGCGUGGGUAUGGAGAGUGGAGACAUUGCAGGGCCUCCGGGAAGCUGCAGCGUGCCCGUGUCAGCUCGACCAAGGCAAGACCACCUUUGCCCAGGCCAGCCUGGGGAGGGUUGUGCCAAGAUGCUGGCUAAUGUUUCCUGGGGCCCACAUGAGCAGAGGAGAGGUCUGUGGGCUGCUGGUGAGUUUGGAUGGAGCUGGGAGCUGGAAGCUCCAGGCCUCGGGGAUGCCUCCUGUGCAGUGGCCUCUUGCUGCCAAAGUGGGUGAUCCCCAGGCCUCAUCUUCCUCACCCUAUCAGCAGCUUUUGACAGAUCUGAUUUCUCCCCGCUGCCUUAAGCACGUGGCUUCCAAGACAACACUCUCUCGGUUUCUUCCUUCUUCCCUGGCCAUUGCUUCUCAGGCUCCUUUCUGGAAUCUGUCUCCUCUUCCAAACUGAUAAGUGGUAGAGCACCCCAGGGCUGUCUACACCCACUCUCAGGGCUGUCUACACCACUCCUGGGUCUCUGUCUACACUCAUCCCCGGGGCCCUGUCUACACUCUCUCUGGGUCUCUGUCUACACCUACUCCCGGGUCUCUGUCUGCACUCAUCCCUGGGGCCCUGUCUACACCUACUCCCUGGGUGGGCUCAUCCAGGCUGAAGUUGUAGAUAGGGUCCCCCUAGACACUGACAUCUCCCAAAUGCCGAUCUACAGGCUAGAUCUUUCCCUUAAGCUCCAGACUGGUGCAUCCAGCCCCCUGCUUGGAGAAGGCCCACUGCAUCUCACACCAGGUGGAUUAUUGAAAACUGCUUUGCUUUCAGUCCUCUGCUUCUCGGUACAUGGCACCCAGGUUGCUCCGGUCCAAGCCCCUGAAGUUGUCCUGCCUCCUCUUUCCCUCACGUCCUGCAUCCAGUGCAUCCACAAGUCUGGUCAGUGCUCAUUUAAUCAUCAAUCCUGACUCCCCAGGCACCCUCUUGCCACCCUAAUCUCGCCCUAUCAGCUUGUGCCCCUGUUAUGAAACUGGCCUUAUACUGUCUCCUUGCUUCCCCUCUUACCUGCUGCCCUCUGGUCCAGUGAUCUUUCAAAAGUGGACAUUAGAUCUUGUUACUCUUCUGCUUAACACUCUCGAAUGCUUCCCAGCAUACACGUAAUAGAGUCUUGCCUGGCAGCAAACCCUCUUGUGUGUGACUGACUGCAACCUGCCUCUCCACCUGCAUUUUCUAUGGUUCUGUCUCACUGCAAUCAAGACAUAUUCACCUCCUUGAUCUUCCUUGGCCCAAAGCUGAAAUGCCUCCUCAAUGGCCUCUAAAUGACCUACGUUGGGUCUCCUGCUUGGACCUCUACAUGGGUCAGUUCCAGUCCUUGCCUGCUGUAUUUGUCUUCACAGGACUGAGGUCCACAUUUAAUUAGAUCAUGUGCUUAUUUGCUUCACUAAUUCUUCUGUCUCCCACCUGAUUAUAAGCUGAGCUGUGGGGACUUGUCUUGUUCGGCACCGUUUCCCCAGUGCCUAGCACCAAGCCUGGCACAUAGUUGGUGCAUAAUAAAACUGUGUUGGGUGACUGAAUAAAUGAACAUCCACUGAGGCUGGGUUGAGAGAAUGUAUUUAUAGGAACAUUGCACAGUUAAAUGUUUGUUGAAU